Molecule: long non-coding RNA, 1471 nt
Filed under: Heterocephalus glaber (naked mole-rat)
Lineage: Eukaryota; Metazoa; Chordata; Mammalia; Rodentia; Bathyergidae
Description: lncRNA (ENSHGLG00000035985.1)
Source: RNAcentral
GUUGAAGACUCUUUGUGGAAAUUAUGCCCAUCCGUUGAUUCUAAUUAAUUAUUUUGAAUAAUUGAUAAUAUAUUUGAUGUGGAUAUAUCAAGGUAUAUUUAUCAACUCUUCAAAUAAUGGAAAUUGAGUUUUUAAAUGUCUGUGCAUUCUUAAUGUUGUGUAGCUUGAAUCAUAUGUCAAAUUCAAGAACCAGGUAUCUUAAGACAAACCAACCAUCAAAUCUGGAGAAAAAUAGCUACUUUCAAGAAUACAUGCUAAAAUUUUCUUGGCUGCCAUGAACUCAGCAUUUUUGCUUCACCAUGCCCUUCUGCCGUGAUGCUCCUGUCUCGGAGCCAUGGGUGGAUUCCCUGAACCAUGAGCCAAGUGUUUAUGUUUAAAAAGUCCUUGAAAUAGCUAUAGGUUAGAAAGCAAUCUUGAAUUGGAAAAUGGUGGAACAGUGAGUGGCACAAGCAAUUUUCCCAGGAUAAAAUGCCUGCUACCUGGAAAUUAUCAACCUGAAGCUCCCCCCAAAAAUGGUGCAGAGGGCACUCCAGAACAUCAAGGGAAUGGACAGAGGAGAAGCAGAAAAUAGGAUCCAAUACUACAGAAGAAUUAGAUUAAUCAUACAGAACAGAGACACUCAACCCAGAAAAUUGACAGUAUACCUGCCUCCACAGAAAUCUGUGAAAACAACUCAGCCACUCACUGAGAAACAGAGUCCCAGACCCAAAAUGGAAGAGGCCUGUACAACCAGAGGCAGUGGCAAAAACACCAGAUAAUAUUCCCAGGCAGGUCCAGCCCGGAGGAAAAAAAGUGGCAGAAAGUUGAAGCACACAGGGAGAGCUAAGAGACUCUGCAGUGAAGACCCAGCAGACUACAGUGGUUGGUAUGAAAAAUUGAAACAGCUGCCUGGCCGGAAACCAUCCCACUGAUGCCAGCAGCUGCCCUGCCAGACCACGCUGUGAGGGGCCUUGUGGUAUCUGAAUCCACACAACAGAGGUGCCGGGGGGAACACAAAGGCUGUGGCUGUGAGCCCCAGAAGAUAGAGAAGAAGUGAACAACAGAGAGGGCCUCUCUGAGGCUCCUCAAUGAAAAUUGAAACCCACUGGGAAAAUGAAGAAAAUCUCUUCAAUAAAAGCACACUGGACCAUCGUGGUUGAAUUGUUCUAUAUGAUUCGGAUACAUACAAAACAGUGGAGGAAGAAUCAAUCAAUUGAGCUUUGACAAUUGGCAGCCCAUGUAGAAAAAACAAGACAUUGGUAAGUUAUUCUAUAUCAGAACCAAAAAUAAAUUACAGAUUGGUUAAAAAUUUAAAUGUGAAAAUAACUAUAAACUUUUGAACUUCAAAAAAAAAAAUAGCCAACAGGACCUUUAUCAGCCCAAUUAAGGUAAGCAGGCAAGAACCUGAAUGGACAUUAUCAAAAACUUAUACCGUAGCAAAAUUAAAUUUUAGUGGUUUCCAAAGGAUAGUGUCAAAAAAGUAAAAACCAAG